UCCUUACAUACGAUGUGCAUCUGGUCUUGGGGUGUUCGAGUUGGCCAUCGCCAAUCUUAAUUUACCAUUCCAUUUUUAGUUCAUAAGUUUAUAUAAUUUUAGUUUACAAAAAAUGUGGGAAAAAAGGUUUAUCUGUGCCUGAGGCAAUUUACUACUGUUUGUGUGCCAUAGUGAGAAGGAAUAUUGACAGUGAAGAUGACGACGAUGAUGAUGAUGAAGAUGAUGAUGAUGAGGAGGAGGAUGAUGAUGAUGGAACUACUAAUCCCUAGGUGGAAACGUCCAGAGUGAGAAAGGCUUGGAAUUUCAGUCUAUGUUGGGAAUCUGAAGUGGACAAAGGGGAAAGGGCUCCCAGGUUCACAUCUAUGAGCACCUCUGAAUGCCCCGCAGCGUUUGCAUUUGGAAUGGGUGCAAGAAAUGCUUGCAUCAUUAGUGCAUGUCAGAUGGAUCCUGCUGUCUGCAGGAGGCAGGUAGAACGUGACCCCAAAUCCUGUGCUGG
This 496-nucleotide long non-coding RNA is filed under the name Equus caballus (horse). RNAcentral describes it as "lncRNA (ENSECAG00000050393.1)". Lineage: Eukaryota; Metazoa; Chordata; Mammalia; Perissodactyla; Equidae. The record is from RNAcentral.